Molecule: ribosomal RNA, 429 nt
Filed under: Pseudomonadota bacterium
Lineage: Bacteria; Pseudomonadati; Pseudomonadota
Description: Proteobacteria bacterium partial 16S ribosomal RNA
Rfam family: Bacterial small subunit ribosomal RNA
Source: RNAcentral
UGGGGAAUAUUGGACAAUGGGCGAAAGCCUGAUCCAGCCAUGCCGCGUGUGUGAAGAAGGUCUUCGGAUUGUAAAGCACUUUAAGUUGGGAGGAAGGGCAGUAAGCGAAUACCUUGCUGUUUUGACGUUACCGACAGAAUAAGCACCGGCUAACUCUGUGCCAGCAGCCGCGGUAAUACAGAGGGUGCAAGCGUUAAUCGGAAUUACUGGGCGUAAAGCGCGAGUAGGUGGUUCGUUAAGUUGAAUGUGAAAGCCCCGGGCUCAACCUGGGAACUGCAUCCAAAACUGGCGAGCUAGAGUAGGGCAGAGGGUGGUGGAAUUUCCUGUGUAGCGGUGAAAUGCGUAGAUAUAGGAAGGAACACCAGUGGCGAAGGCGACCACCUGGGCUCAUACUGACACUGAGGUGCGAAAGCGUGGGGAGCAAACAGG